RNAcentral lists this long non-coding RNA (262 nucleotides) under Nicotiana benthamiana. Its description in RNAcentral is "long non-coding RNA (NBEN_LNC017175)". Lineage: Eukaryota; Viridiplantae; Streptophyta; Magnoliopsida; Solanales; Solanaceae. The record is from RNAcentral.
CUGUCCCUCUUGGCGAUGGCCUGAGAACCAAGCAUCACUUCCCCGCUUACCCCACUCGGCUCCUCGCCAAACUUGCACUCCAGAUAUUCUAUCUUAGAUCUGCUAAUCUUGAAACCUUAGACUCAAGGGUCUGUCUAAAUAUCUCUAACCUUUCACUAACACCGGCCCUCGUCUCGUCUAUCAAUAUUAUAUCACCAGCAAAGAGCAUACACCAAGGCACAUCCCCUUGGAUAUGUCGGGUCAGAGCAUCCAUCACUANNNN